UACGGGGGGUGCGAGCGUUGUCCGGAAUCACUGGGCGUAAAGGGCGCGUAGGUGGUUUGAUAAGGGUGUGGUGAAAGUCCGGAGCUCAACUCCGGAUCUGCCGUGCCGACUGUCAAACUCGAGGGCUGUAGAGGCAGACGGAAUUCCGGGUGGAGUGGUGAAAUGCGUAGAGAUCCGGAGGAACACCAAAGGCGAAGGCAGUGUCCUGGGGAGUACCUGACGCUCAGGUGCGAAAGCCAGGGGAGCGAACGGG
Molecule: ribosomal RNA, 253 nt
Filed under: uncultured bacterium
Lineage: Bacteria
Description: partial 16S ribosomal RNA
Rfam family: Bacterial small subunit ribosomal RNA
Source: RNAcentral